Molecule: long non-coding RNA, 1259 nt
Organism: Bubalus bubalis (water buffalo)
Lineage: Eukaryota; Metazoa; Chordata; Mammalia; Artiodactyla; Bovidae
Exons: 2
Source: RefSeq, a predicted model, not a curated record
UUUCCUAUGAAUAUUCAGGACUGAUUUACUUUAGGAUUGACUCGUUUGAGCUCCUUGCUGUCCAAGGGACUCUAAAGAGUCUUCUCAAGCACUGAAAUUCAAAAGCAUCAUUUCUUCAGUGUGUACCCUUUGUUAUGGUCUGACUCACAUCCAUAAUAGCUACUGGAAAAACCAUAGCUUUGACUAUACGGACCUUUGAAGUGGUUGCGGCACAGGUUGCUGCAAGCUCUUCCUGCGCCAGACGCUUAGUGACCUUUGGAACAAGGAGGGUGAGGGUCCUGGCACCUUUUCCCUUGGUGCCGGUUUUCUCGAAGCCUUUGCUAGCCAGGCCUCGUGGCCGCCUCCAUGAAAACCACUGACGGGUGGAGCCCCACGUGGCCGGCUGUACUGUGCUGCUGGGCCAGACGAUGGCCAAGAAGCUGCUGCUGAGGGCCCCUUCUCUCCGUGUCCUCUGCUUUCCAAGCCCCCCAAGCCUGCCCUGCUGCCUGCCAGCCCAUGAACACCCGCCGCACUGGCUACCAAGUCUUCUCCGUCAGCUCCAUGGCCGCCAGAACCGAGAUAGACAAGUGUUCUGCUGCUUGCUGCUUGAAAACAUACUCAAGAGAUUAGUGUUUGUUGGAAAGGAAAAGUUGAUUUAUUCAGGAUGUCAGCAACCUGGGAGAAGGCCGACUGGUGUCUAGUGUCGAAAAGCCAACUCCAAAGAUUCUGCUUGACCAUGAACGUUUUCAAAGGGAGACUCAUUUGAGGAGGAGGGAUACGUGUCUUCCUUAUCUUCCCCUGUGCAGACUUUCUUCUGAUUGGUCAGUGGUGAGGUAGAAGGUUCCAGGAAUCUGGUGCUCAGCCUUAAGAUACCAUUCUCCACCCCGGGUGGGGCCUCAUUCCUACUGAAGAACUCAAAGGACAUUGUUAUACGCCUUGAGGAGGAGCCACGACCCUGCCCCGCAGCUGCACUAUUACUUCUUGACUGUUCCUCCUUUGUUUCUGCUUCCCCUCCCUUCCCUGAUAAUAAGCACCUGUUUAAAUCUGCGGAACUCAGGGAAGGUCAGGAGGCUGAAUGAACCCUGUUUCCUACAAACAAGAAAUGGGGGACACGGAAAGGAGUGUAUCAGAGGGCUUACAAGAUCCUAGCUCCCCUGUCAGGGACUAAACCCGAGCCCUUGGCAGCGAAAUCGUGGAGUCCUAACCGCUGGACUGCCAGGGAAUUCCUCCUUUGUUUUUCCUUAUAUUUGACUGACAAUUAAAUAUUAAUGUUCACCAUA